Molecule: long non-coding RNA, 567 nt
Organism: Myxocyprinus asiaticus (Chinese sucker)
Lineage: Eukaryota; Metazoa; Chordata; Actinopteri; Cypriniformes; Catostomidae
Exons: 4
Source: RefSeq, a predicted model, not a curated record
GCAGCAGUGAUGGCGUUCUUGCAAGUCUUGCCCAGUGAACUCCGAUCGCGCAUCACCUCUGUCCCUCCUUUCAGACCUGUCUGAUUUGAGGACGUUUUUGUGAUUUGGAGUUAUGUGGGGCACUCUGGCAAGGACGAUGUCUCUAGAAUUUACCCUGAAUGGCGCCAAAAACAAAUAACAAACAGUGAGGGGCAGUUCUGUGGAUGGAAAUGCCUUGUUGAUGAGAGAGGUCAACAGAGAAUGGCCAGACUGGUUCGAACUGACAAAGUCUACGUGAAACUUUGCCAGUGGAGUAUCUAGGUGGGAAGCCACUAUGUAUGAACAAGUACUAUCAAGUGCUAUCAUCCUGUCGGAUCCCUGGAACAAAGAGGGACACUGUGGUAAACUAUGCCCUGGACAAAAGGCCCCCCUUAGUGCACAACUUCCAGUGACGACACACCACUGACUGUAGAUCAGAUCUACAUGCAGCUGGAGAAGAUAUGGAACUCCUCCUUACAGACCAACAAAGAACCUAUUGGCAUCCUCACAUUCAACCACUGCAACAGCUGGGGCAAAGCUUACAACAAC